Molecule: ribosomal RNA, 496 nt
Filed under: uncultured bacterium
Lineage: Bacteria
Description: partial 16S ribosomal RNA
Rfam family: Bacterial small subunit ribosomal RNA
Source: RNAcentral
AUGAACGCUGGCGGCGUGCCUAAUACAUGCAAGUCGAGCGAGCGGACGAGAAGCUUGCUUCUCUGAUGUUAGCGGCGGACGGGUGAGUAACACGUGGAUAACCUACCUAUAAGACUGGGAUAACUUCGGGAAACCGGAGCUAAUACCGGAUGAUAUUUUGAACCGCAUGGUUCAAAAGUGAAAGACGGUCUUGCUGUCACUUAUAGAUGGAUCCGCGCUGCAUUAGCUAGUUGGUAAGGUAACGGCUUACCAAGGCAACGAUGCAUAGCCGACCUGAGAGGGUGAUCGGCCACACUGGAACUGAGACACGGUCCAGACUCCUACGGGAGGCAGCAGUAGGGAAUCUUCCGCAAUGGGCGAAAGCCUGACGGAGCAACGCCGCGUGAGUGAUGAAGGUCUUCGGAUCGUAAAACUCUGUUAUUAGGGAAGAACAUAUGUGUAAGUAACUGUGCACAUCUUGACGGUACCUAAUCAGAAAGCCACGGCUAACUACGUG